Molecule: ribosomal RNA, 483 nt
Filed under: uncultured bacterium
Lineage: Bacteria
Description: partial 16S ribosomal RNA
Rfam family: Bacterial small subunit ribosomal RNA
Source: RNAcentral
GAUGAACGCUGGCGGCGUGCCUAACACAUGCAAGUCGAACGGAGUCGUUUUGGAAAUCUCUUCGGAGAUGGAAUUCUCGACUUAGUGGCGGACGGGUGAGUAACGCGUGAGCAAUCUGCCUUUAAGGGGGGGAUAACAGUCGGAAACGGCUGCUAAUACCGCAUAAAGCAUUAAAUUCGCAUGUUUUUGAUGCCAAAGGAGCAAUCCGCUUUUAGAUGAGCUCGCGUCUGAUUAGCUAGUUGGCGGGGUAACGGCCCACCAAGGCGACGAUCAGUAGCCGGACUGAGAGGUUGAACGGCCACAUUGGGACUGAGACACGGCCCAGACUCCUACGGGAGGCAGCAGUGGGGAAUAUUGCGCAAUGGGGGAAACCCUGACGCAGCAACGCCGCGUGAUUGAAGAAGGCCUUCGGGUUGUAAAGAUCUUUAAUCAGGGACGAAACAAAUGACGGUACCUGAAGAAUAAGCUCCGGCUAACUACGUG